GGCGACCCGGCGGUCAUGUCGGUGGUCUGGAGGAACUUUUUAAGUACCGAAAGCACGACACGUCGGAGUCUGAGCGCACGAGUCGGUACCCGAAAGAUGGUGAACUAUGCCUGGCCAGGGCGAAGCCGGAGGAAACUCCGGUGGAGGCCCGAAGCGGUUCUGACGUGCAAAUCGAUCGUCGGAGCGUGGUAUAGGGGCGAAAGACU
Molecule: ribosomal RNA, 206 nt
Rfam family: Eukaryotic large subunit ribosomal RNA